GAUGAACGCUGGCGGCGUGCCUAAUACAUGCAAGUCGAGCGAACAGAUAAGGAGCUUGCUCCUUUGACGUUAGCGGCGGACGGGUGAGUAACACGUGGGUCACCUACCUAUAAGACUGGGAUAACUUCGGGAAACCGGAGCUAAUACCGGAUAACAUUUGGAACCGCAUGGUUCUAAAGUGAAAGAUGGUUUUGCUAUCACUUCUAGAUGGACCCGCGCCGUAUUAGCUAGUUGGUACGGUAACGGCUUACCAAGGCGACGAUUCGUAGCCGACCUGCGAGGCGGAUCGGCCACACUGGAACGGAGACACGGUCCAGACGCCUACGGGAGGCAGCAGUAGGGUACCGGCCGCAAUGGGCGGAAGCCUGACGGAGCAACGCCGCGUGAGUGAUGAAGGGUUUCGGCGCGUAAAACUCUGUUAUGAGGGAAGAACAAAUGUGGAAGUAACUGUGCACGUCUUGACGGUACCUAAUCAGAAAGCCACGGCUAACUACGUG
Molecule: ribosomal RNA, 497 nt
Filed under: uncultured bacterium
Lineage: Bacteria
Description: partial 16S ribosomal RNA
Rfam family: Bacterial small subunit ribosomal RNA
Source: RNAcentral